UUUUUUGCUAAUUUUUUUCCCAACUUGAUGGCUUAGGCCAGAGUCUUUCAAGAAAAAAAGUCUUAUUAGAGAAGUCUUCAUAUCUCGUGAGGAUGAAUUAAAAGCAGAAUCUCAACUUUGCUACCUUUAAAUGUCACGGAGAGAAAAAACUGCAAAACCAUGUGCAACAAUAUCCAUGAUAAAUCAUCUUUGAUCUCAACAUAACGGAGACUAUAAGGAGUAUAAAGACUAGAAGAAAGAGUAGAAGGUGAUCCACAAUCAAUUCAGAACCUGGUCUUCUAUGGUGGCUCACAGUUCCUGCACCCUACAAUAUCGUGGUAAUGAUGAAAGCUAGCCAUCUUGUUUAUUACAUGUUUCUCAGUACUUAAAUAUGGAGUCAGAAUUCUUUCACCACCGUGGGACUCCCAGGCCCCUCACUGUGGUACUUCUGUUGCUGGCACCUGGAAAGCCUGUUAGAGCACCUAGAAAGCCUGUACCUCUGUUGGGAGUGCACAUCUAC
RNAcentral lists this long non-coding RNA (499 nucleotides) under Homo sapiens (human). RNAcentral's name for it is "non-protein coding lnc-PIK3C3-2:2". Lineage: Eukaryota; Metazoa; Chordata; Mammalia; Primates; Hominidae. The record is from RNAcentral.